GGGUUGUGAGGUUAAGCGACUAAGCGUACACGGUGGAUGCCCUGGCAGUCAGAGGCGAUGAAGGACGUGCUAAUCUGCGAAAAGCGUCGGUAAGGUGAUAUGAACCGUUACAGCCGGCGAUGUCCGAAUGGGGAAACCCAGUGUGAUUCGUCACACUAUCGUUAACUGAAUACAUAGGUUAACGAGGCGAACCGGGGGAACUGAAACAUCUAAGUACCCCGAGGAAAAGAAAUCAACCGAGAUUCCCCCAGUAGCGGCGAGCGAACGGGGAGCAGCCCAGAGUCUGAAUCAGCUUGUGUGUUAGUGGAACGGUCUGGAAAGUCCGACGGUACAGGGUGAUAGUCCCGUACACCAAAAUGCACAGGCUGUGAACUCGAAGAGUAGGGCGGGACACGUGGUAUCCUGUCUGAAUAUGGGGGGACCAUCCUCCAAGGCUAAAUACUCCUGACUGACCGAUAGUGAACCAGUACCGUGAGGGAAAGGCGAAAAGAACCCCGGCGAGGGGAGUGAAAAAGAACCUGAAACCGUGUACGUACAAGCAGUGGGAGCACCUUCGGGUGUGACUGCGUACCUUUUGUAUAAUGGGUCAGCGACUUAUAUUCUGUAGCAAGGUUAACCGUAUAGGGGAGCCGCAGGGAAACCGAGUCUUAACUGGGCGUUAAGUUGCAGGGUAUAGACCCGAAACCCGGUGAUCUAGCCAUGGGCAGGUUGAAGGUUGGGUAACACUAACUGGAGGACCGAACCGACUAAUGUUGAAAAAUUAGCGGAUGACUUGUGGCUGGGGGUGAAAGGCCAAUCAAACCGGGAGAUAGCUGGUUCUCCCCGAAAGCUAUUUAGGUAGCGCCUCGUGAACUCAUCUUCGGGGGUAGAGCACUGUUUCGGCUAGGGGGUCAUCCCGACUUACCAACCCGAUGCAAACUACGAAUACCGAAGAAUGUUAUCACGGGAGACACACGGCGGGUGCUAACGUCCGUCGUGAAGAGGGAAACAACCCAGACCGCCAGCUAAGGUCCCAAAGUCAUGGUUAAGUGGGAAACGAUGUGGGAAGGCACAGACAGCCAGGAUGUUGGCUUAGAAGCAGCCAUCAUUUAAAGAAAGCGUAAUAGCUCACUGGUCGAGUCGGCCUGCGCGGAAGAUGUAACGGGGCUAAACCAUGCACCGAAGCUGCGGCAGCGACACUAUGUGUUGUUGGGUAGGGGAGCGUUCUGUAAGCCUGCGAAGGUGACCUGUGAGGGUUGCUGGAGGUAUCAGAAGUGCGAAUGCUGACAUAAGUAACGAUAAAGCGGGUGAAAAGCCCGCUCGCCGGAAGACCAAGGGUUCCUGUCCAACGUUAAUCGGGGCAGGGUGAGUCGACCCCUAAGGCGAGGCCGAAAGGCGUAGUCGAUGGGAAACAGGUUAAUAUUCCUGUACUUGGUGUUACUGCGAAGGGGGGACGGAGAAGGCUAUGUUAGCCGGGCGACGGUUGUCCCGGUUUAAGCAUGUAGGCUGAUUGUCCAGGCAAAUCCGGAUAAUCAAGGCUGAGGUGUGAUGACGAGGCACUACGGUGCUGAAGUAACAAAUGCCCUGCUUCCAGGAAAAGCCUCUAAGCAUCAGGUAACAUCAAAUCGUACCCCAAACCGACACAGGUGGUCAGGUAGAGAAUACCAAGGCGCUUGAGAGAACUCGGGUGAAGGAACUAGGCAAAAUGGUGCCGUAACUUCGGGAGAAGGCACGCUGGUGUGUAGGUGAAGUCCCUGCGGAUGGAGCUGAGACCAGUCGAAGAUACCAGCUGGCUGCAACUGUUUAUUAAAAACACAGCACUGUGCAAACACGAAAGUGGACGUAUACGGUGUGACGCCUGCCCGGUGCCGGAAGGUUAAUUGAUGGGGUUAUCCGUAAGGAGAAGCUCUUGAUCGAAGCCCCGGUAAACGGCGGCCGUAACUAUAACGGUCCUAAGGUAGCGAAAUUCCUUGUCGGGUAAGUUCCGACCUGCACGAAUGGCGUAAUGAUGGCCAGGCUGUCUCCACCCGAGACUCAGUGAAAUUGAACUCGCUGUGAAGAUGCAGUGUACCCGCGGCAAGACGGAAAGACCCCGUGAACCUUUACUAUAGCUUGACACUGAACAUUGAGCCUUGAUGUGUAGGAUAGGUGGGAGGCUUUGAAGCGUGGACGCCAGUCUGCGUGGAGCCAACCUUGAAAUACCACCCUUUAAUGUUUGAUGUUCUAACGUUGGCCCCUUACCGGGGUUGCGGACAGUGUCUGGUGGGUAGUUUGACUGGGGCGGUCUCCUCCCAAAGCGUAACGGAGGAGCACGAAGGUUAGCUAAUCCUGGUCGGACAUCAGGAGGUUAGUGCAAUGGCAUAAGCUAGCUUGACUGCGAGCGUGACGGCGCGAGCAGGUGCGAAAGCAGGUCAUAGUGAUCCGGUGGUUCUGAAUGGAAGGGCCAUCGCUCAACGGAUAAAAGGUACUCCGGGGAUAACAGGCUGAUACCGCCCAAGAGUUCAUAUCGACGGCGGUGUUUGGCACCUCGAUGUCGGCUCAUCACAUCCUGGGGCUGAAGUAGGUCCCAAGGGUAUGGCUGUUCGCCAUUUAAAGUGGUACGCGAGCUGGGUUUAGAACGUCGUGAGACAGUUCGGUCCCUAUCUGCCGUGGGCGCUGGAGAAUUGAGGGGGGCUGCUCCUAGUACGAGAGGACCGGAGUGGACGCAUCACUGGUGUUCGGGUUGUCAUGCCAAUGGCACUGCCCGGUAGCUAAAUGCGGAAGAGAUAAGUGCUGAAAGCAUCUAAGCACGAAACUUGCCCCGAGAUGAGUUCUCCCUGAGACUUUAAGUCUCCUGAAGGAACGUUGAAGACGACGACGUUGAUAGGCCGGGUGUGUAAGCGCAGCGAUGCGUUGAGCUAACCGGUACUAAUGAACCGUGAGGCUUAACCUUACAACGCCGAAG
Molecule: ribosomal RNA, 2923 nt
Filed under: Klebsiella pneumoniae
Lineage: Bacteria; Pseudomonadati; Pseudomonadota; Gammaproteobacteria; Enterobacterales; Enterobacteriaceae
Description: 23S ribosomal RNA
Rfam family: Bacterial large subunit ribosomal RNA
Source: RNAcentral